AAUUUUACCUGAAUCAAAAGGAAAUGAAUCAGACAAAAAGAAUUUUAAAAUCAUGUAAAAUUCAGAGAAGGAAAAUUUUGGACAGAAACUUCCUUGGAGUUUUGAAGUUGGUUUCCUCGAGUACAUGCAUCCCCAAAUCUCAAACUGACAAGCACGAUCUCUGCUUCUGUUUCUGACACCUUUUGGAGACUGAUCCUGUUUAUCCUGGACACUCAAAACAAACAUUAAAAUACGAAGAUCAUAUGUGCAAGACAAGUACUUAUUCAUAUCAAAAACCAAAGCUUCUUUCUCUAGAACAUGUAGCACACGUCAUCAUGAAGCCUAUCAAAGUAAGUGUUGUACACCAGAAUGGUGUCAGGGCACGUGAUAGCAC
RNAcentral lists this long non-coding RNA (373 nucleotides) under Brassica napus (rape). Its description in RNAcentral is "long non-coding RNA (BNAP_LNC019670)". Lineage: Eukaryota; Viridiplantae; Streptophyta; Magnoliopsida; Brassicales; Brassicaceae. The record is from RNAcentral.